RNAcentral lists this ribosomal RNA (397 nucleotides) under uncultured bacterium. RNAcentral's name for it is "bacterial SSU rRNA". It matches the Rfam family "Bacterial small subunit ribosomal RNA", at positions 30 to 429 of the family's 1533-position model. The record is from RNAcentral.
AUUGAACGCUGGCGGCAUGCCUUACACAUGCAAGUCGAACGGUAACGGGCCUUCGGGUGCCGACGAGUGGCGAACGGGUGAGUAAUGUAUCGGAACGUACCUUUCAGUGGGGGAUAACGUAGCGAAAGUUACGCUAAUACCGCAUAUUCUGUGAGCAGGAAAGCAGGGGAUCGCAAGACCUUGCGCUGAUUGAGCGGCCGAUAUCAGAUUAGCCAGUUGGUGAGGUAAAGGCUCACCAAGGCGACGAUCUGUAGCGGGUCUGAGAGGAUGAUCCGCCACACUGGAACUGAGACACGGUCCAGACUCCUACGGGAGGCAGCAGUGGGGGAAUUUUGGACAAUGGGGGGCAACCCUGAUCCAGCCAUGCCGCGUGAGUGAAGAAGGCCUCGGUUGUAAG